UACGGAGGAUUCAAGCGUUAUCCGGAUUUAUUGGGUGUAAAGGGAGCGCAGGCGGCGUGGCAAGUCAGAUGUGAAAACCCGGGGCCCAACCCCGGGAGUGCAUUUGAAACUGCCAUGCUGGAGUGCCGGAGAGGUAAGCGGAAUUCCUAGUGUAGCGGUGAAAUGCGUAGAUAUUAGGAGGAACACCAGUGGCGAAGGCGGCUUACUGGACUGUAAAUGACGCUGAGGCUCGAAAGCGUGGGGAGCAAACAGG
RNAcentral lists this ribosomal RNA (253 nucleotides) under uncultured Eubacteriales bacterium. RNAcentral's name for it is "uncultured Clostridiales bacterium partial 16S ribosomal RNA". It matches the Rfam family "Bacterial small subunit ribosomal RNA", at positions 524 to 776 of the family's 1533-position model. The record is from RNAcentral. Lineage: Bacteria; Bacillati; Bacillota; Clostridia; Eubacteriales.